UUGACCUCGAAUCAGGUAGGAAUACCCGCUGAACUUAAGCAUAUCAAUAAGC
RNAcentral lists this ribosomal RNA (52 nucleotides) under Fusarium solani. RNAcentral describes it as "partial 28S ribosomal RNA". The record is from RNAcentral. Lineage: Eukaryota; Fungi; Ascomycota; Sordariomycetes; Hypocreales; Nectriaceae. RNAcentral also lists the same sequence under 2 other names.